Molecule: non-coding RNA, 27 nt
Filed under: Rattus norvegicus (Norway rat)
Lineage: Eukaryota; Metazoa; Chordata; Mammalia; Rodentia; Muridae
Source: RNAcentral
UGUAUACGGCGCAGACAAAUGGAACAC